CUCCCAAGGUGCAAACCAGGGAUAUAUCCCCCAAAGGAUAUGAUGAUGCGAAGCGGUACUGCAAGGACCCCAGCCCCAGCAGCAGCAGCACCAGCAGCUACGCGCCCAGCAGCAGCAGCAACCUGAGCUGCGGCGGGGGCAGCAGCGCCAGCAGCACCUGCAGCAAGAGCAGCUUCGACUACACGCACGACAUGGAGGCGGCCCACAUGGCGGCCACCGCCAUCCUCAACCUGUCCACGCGCUGCCGCGAGAUGCCGCAGAACCUGAGCACCAAGCCGCAGGACCUGUGCGCCACGCGGAACCCUGACAUGGAGGUGGAUGAGAAUGGGACCCUGGACCUCAGCAUGAACAAGCAGAGGCCGCGGGACAGCUGCUGCCCCAUCCUGACCCCUCUGGAGCCCAUGUCCCCCCAGCAGCAGGCAGUGAUGAACAACCGGUGUUUCCAGCUGGGCGAGGGCGACUGCUGGGACUUGCCCGUAGACUACACCAAAAUGAAACCCCGGAGGAUAGACGAGGACGAGUCCAAAGACAUUACUCCAGAAGACUUGGACCCAUUCCAGGAGGCUCUAGAAGAAAGACGGUAUCCCGGGGAGGUGACCAUCCCAAGUCCCAAACCCAAGUACCCUCAGUGCAAGGAGAGCAAAAAGGAUUUAAUAACUCUGUCUGGCUGCCCCCUGGCGGACAAAAGCAUUCGAAGUAUGCUGGCCACCAGCUCCCAAGAACUCAAGUAAGAUUUAAUGACUAUAAUUCUCUUUUAAAAAUCCAUGCACUCAGUAGUUCACAAAAAAAAAGGAUAUGUCAUUUGCAAAGAAAAAUGUCUGUUAAAAAACAUGGCCUGUGCACCCCAGUGCCUUGAUGUAGACACGGGAUUGAGUCCUCGGAAUUUCAGCCACUUUUCCACACAACCCAUUCUGCCUUUUCCCCUGACAUACCUCCAGCUUGUUCAUAUCAUAUCCUUCCUAUCUGGAAUAUCCUAAAGCAUGGGUGUUUUCUCUUCAGAUAUGCAUGCAUAUGGAAGGGAAAUUUUACAGUUACUCAAAUUUUUAGAAAAUGACUGUAAAUAAUCAAAAUUUAAUUUUU
This 1080-nucleotide small RNA is filed under the name Pan troglodytes (chimpanzee). RNAcentral's name for it is "retained intron". Lineage: Eukaryota; Metazoa; Chordata; Mammalia; Primates; Hominidae. The record is from RNAcentral.